UUUGGACAUGCAGCUCUAUCCAUCUUCAUUUCUAUAUAACAUGUUUCUUUAAAUCCAAUAUAGUGUUUUCCCCUUUUUUUGUUUAAUUUAAUACAGCACUACUGCAACAAAGGUAGAAUAAGCGAAAGAAUAUUUCCUGUUAUGAUAGCAGAAGCUGAAAUUUCACUUCAGCUUUAAACGUCGAGUUCUGGGCAAGAAUAAAAAGAAUACAAGGUUACUUCCAUAUGUUCUAUUCAAUCCCCACUUGGGAAGAAAACAGAACAGGCAAGAAAACAGACCUUCUGGGAACCUUUCUCUCAAGACAAAUCACCAGUCAAAGAAAAUCAUUCCUUUCCACGUCUGUAAAACCAAACGAACAUUCAAAAUUUUUAGCCUGCGAAAAUAUGUUGCCAUUGCCAGCAGGCAUCUGAUGGAGGUGUUUCUUCCAAUUCUUAAAAUUCAAAAUAUUUGAGUUCUUCACACUGAACAUUCUUUUCCAAGUUAAUCCUUCUCGGUCACAAUAAGCCAGCUUCGAAGAGAUUUCUCCGUCUUAAAGUCUCAUCCACAAGCUUGAAAGUUUUCUUCACAAGUUUCUGAUCAAGGGCAGUGGUUCUAUAUAUUUUAAAAACACGAUCCACGCGAUCAGGGGUUGUGCUUCGAAAAUACAACUCCUCAAAUUUCUUCUUGACAAAUCUGAAGAAAAAGAUCAAUAGAAAUGGUCAUUUGAGUUUUCUGGAACCCAGAAUAAUUUUGUAAAGCUUCAAAAAGCAUUGAUGAGGCCGGGUGAAUGGUGGUUUGGUUGGUCCUGGCCACUGAGAACAAGCCACUAAACAACCACCAAAUACUUUGACAUGAUUCCCCUACCACCUGCAUCAUCAAGCUCAACAAACAGUCCUAACAAUAUAAUCCUCAACUCUAGCAAAGUACAAUACAAUUGAAGCUUUCAAACAAUUACAGACCAAUUAACUAAUUUAGAGACUGAGGAAAGAGCAUGUCAGCAGAAGUUGGCAAGAGUGUUUCUUAUGUAUUCAGUGAGUUCAUAUCUAUCAUUUGAAGCAAAUGACAGGAAUACUUGUGUUAGGUACAAAAUCCUAGGAAUAUUUGUGUAAGUACAAAAUGCUUACUCAUAUGCAUGCUCGAUCUCUUGUUUGCCCAUUGAAACUGGCUGGUAAUCCUUGAACCACUCACAUACAUUCAGCGGCACCUAUACAGUGUGGAAUAUCAAUGAUCCAAACUAAUGCUAAUUUUGUAAAUUACUGAAUAAAAAUGAACUGUCCUAUUAGCUCUUACUUUCAGAACCUUCUUUUCAAAUAUAUCAAAUUUGUUGAGAAACAGCAUGAAGGAUGUUUUCUCAAAACAUGGCUGCUUCAGGACCCAUUCAAAAAGCUCCUUAGUCUCCAUCACACGAUUCUUGUUUUCAUCCUCAAAAAGUGUUUGAUCAUACUCGCUAAUUGCAGCACAAAAAAUUACAGCUGUAACUCCUUCAAAUAGAUGGAUCCAUUUCCGCCUCUCAUUUCUCUGGCCACCAACAUCAAAAAGUCUAUAAACUUCACCACUUCUCUUGUUCUCUCCAACAGGGCUGAACUGGAUCUCUACAACACCAGUUGUACGAACUCUUGCAUAUAGAACAUCUUCCUUAGUUGGAAUAUAAUUCGGGUCAGACAAUCUUUGCAAGUUUUCCAUGAAAUAAUGGGCACAGUCUGGAACUUGAAGCUCAUUACCCCGGGUAUAUGUUUCCUGAAUCGCAGUAUCUUUCCAUAAAGUUUCAGUCUCCUGUGCAAGCUCAUUGGUGAGAAAUGGAUAAUCCAACCUGCCUCCAAUUUCUGACAACUUCUCUCCAAUGUCCUAAUGGACAAUUAAAAUCGAUUGGUUUUAGCAGUAAAUCCUCUUGAACACAGGACUCCACAAGAUUUCUCAAGAAAACAACAAAAACCAUCAAAUUUGCCAAUAUUCUAUAUAAACAAUUCAUGUUAUAUAACACGUAGCAUUUCUAUUAAAAUAUUGCUAACCAGAUCAAAAGAGAUAAUCUCACUUGAAGCAUUGUAAGACAUUCAAAUGGUGAAUUCAAACCUUAUUUUCACUGCAUAUGACAUACUUUGAGGAAUCCGCUUCAUUUUGAGCCAAUUCCUUUGAUCCAUCGUGCAAUAUUUUUAUUGUCUGAUAGACAUUGGCAUGGAUGACUGAUAUAUAGCUCUUCAGUUCUGACUCAUCAAAACCACUUUGAAACAAAAGUUUUAUCUGCUUAAAUAUUGUGGACUUCCCAGAGUCUCCAGCACCAAGCAAUAGGAGUUUCUGAACAUGCUUUUCAGCCUUUGUUUCUUGUUCAAUUCGUCUUUCAAUUUCAGCAGCCUGUGCACUCUCUUCAGCAUCUGCUUCAUUGUAACGGCGCUGUUUACUGCAGAGUGAGCCCAUAUUUUGUAUUACAAUAGGCAGCAUAGACAAGGCAGUGAUCAGGCUUGACUAGGUGUCAAAAAAUUCUUUGAUUCCUUUCUAUAAAGAUCACUCAUUAUGUGGUCAACUUAACCUGAACAAGAUGCCACAAACCUGGUUGGAAAGGAAAGUAGCUUAGGUACUGAUUUGGGUGAAUAGUUUAGUAGCAAUAGCAAAGAGGACAGCAAUUGGCUGGUCCUUACGCCGUGGGUGUUGUAAGAAACUAAGAAUAGAUAUGUUAUAUAAAUAUAUAAAAUUAAAUAAAUAGUCGGGGAUCAAGAGGUGGCCAAAUCUGGAAGGAUGGAAAGAGAAAGAAAAAGCGCCGAAAGCUGCAAGCAAAGCCAAUUCUCUCUCUUUGUUGCUUGUACUUCUCUUCCUCCAGUCAAAGUUCAAAAGGAGAGAGAAUAAAUCAUAAAUAAAUGAAAAAUAUAAAAGAAAG
Molecule: unclassified non-coding RNA, 2848 nt
Filed under: Hevea brasiliensis (rubber tree)
Lineage: Eukaryota; Viridiplantae; Streptophyta; Magnoliopsida; Malpighiales; Euphorbiaceae
Source: RNAcentral